ACAUUUCCAAAGUUCUAUUUUGAAAAGAUUGUGUUUGUUAAUAUCAUCAUGAAGCUAGGAAGCAUUAUCAUACUCUUGGUGGCUUUGUUUGCUUUUUUCAGUUUCACCUAUGGAUUAGGUGAAGAACCCAAUAUCAAAUAUUGCCCUAGACUUCUUAAGGGAUUGAGUGGUGACUGUCUGCAUGGUGGUCCAGACUGCUAUGAUGAAUUCAAUUCAAGGUAUAAGGGUGCACAGGCUCGUCGUUGUAGAUGUGAAUCUACAGGAAAUACACACACAUGCUCAUGUUGUAUAGUUUGUGGAUCGAUGGAACAUAAGAAUUAUUUUCCUUUUGUAAGCCAAGAUGAUUUUAUCCCUGAAUGCUAAAAAUUUAGCGAGUUAAAUUAAUAAUAACCUCACAUCUUAAUUUAUGAGGUUUUUUAA
Long non-coding RNA from Vicia villosa (hairy vetch), 420 nucleotides. RefSeq lists it as uncharacterized. The record is from RefSeq and is a predicted model, not a curated record. Lineage: Eukaryota; Viridiplantae; Streptophyta; Magnoliopsida; Fabales; Fabaceae. The transcript is spliced from 2 exons.